RNAcentral lists this ribosomal RNA (279 nucleotides) under Aspergillus fischeri. Its description in RNAcentral is "partial large subunit ribosomal RNA". It matches the Rfam family "Eukaryotic large subunit ribosomal RNA", at positions 351 to 648 of the family's 3401-position model. The record is from RNAcentral. Lineage: Eukaryota; Fungi; Ascomycota; Eurotiomycetes; Eurotiales; Aspergillaceae.
GAGUGAUCGAAAGAUGAAAAGCACUUUGAAAAGAGAGUUAAACAGCACGUGAAAUUGUUGAAAGGGAAGCGUUUGCGACCAGACUCGCCCGCGGGGUUCAGCCGGCAUUCGUGCCGGUGUACUUCCCCGUGGGCGGGCCAGCGUCGGUUUGGGCGGCCGGUCAAAGGCCCUCGGAAUGUAUCACCUCUCGGGGUGUCUUAUAGCCGAGGGUGCAAUGCGGCCUGCCCGGACCGAGGAACGCGCUUCGGCUCGGACGCUGGCGUAAUGGUCGUAAAUGAC